UCCGGUUUGUCACCGGCAGUCUCCUUAGAGUUCCCGCCAUUACCCGCUGGCAACUAAGGGCAGGGGUUGCGCUCGUUGCGGCACUUAAGCCAACACCUCACGGCACGAGCUGAAGACAGCCAUGCAGCACCUGUGCUAGCCCCAAAAGGACACGGGCUUUCACCCGCUUUAACUAGCAUGUCAAGCCCAGGUAAGGUUCUUCGCGUUGCAUCGAAUUAAGCCACAUGCUCCGCCGCUUGUGCGGGUCCCCGUCAAUUCCUUUGAGUUUUAGCCUUGCGGCCGUACUCCCCAGGCGGCGAACUUAACGCGUUAGCUUCGAUACUGCGUGCCAAAUUGCACCCAACAUCCAGUUCGCAUCGUUUAGGGCGUGGACUAC
This 376-nucleotide unclassified non-coding RNA is filed under the name uncultured bacterium. RNAcentral describes it as "contains 16S-23S intergenic spacer region". The record is from RNAcentral.